This 669-nucleotide long non-coding RNA is filed under the name Cyanistes caeruleus (blue tit). Its description in RNAcentral is "lncRNA (ENSCCEG00000003788.1)". The record is from RNAcentral. Lineage: Eukaryota; Metazoa; Chordata; Aves; Passeriformes; Paridae.
CCCCGAGGUGUCCCUCAUGUCCCCGAGGUGUUCCUCACGUCCCUGAGAUGUCCCUGAGGUGUCCCUGAGAUGUCCCCGAGGUGUCCCCCAUGCCCCUGAGAUGUUCCUCACGUCCCUGAGAUGUCCCUGAGGUGUCCCCAGCAUGUCCCCGUCCCCGCAGGCCUUCAGCCGCGCCCACCGCAUCGGCCAGGCCAACAAGGUGAUGAUUUACCGCUUCGUGACGCGGGCGUCGGUGGAGGAGAGGAUCACGCAGGUGGCCAAGCGCAAGAUGAUGCUGACGCACCUGGUGGUGCGCCCGGGGCUGGGCUCCAAGGCCGGCUCCAUGUCCAAGCAGGAGCUGGACGACAUCCUCAAGUUCGGCACCGAGGAGCUCUUCAAGGACGAGAACGAGGGGGACAACAAGGAGGAGGACAGCAGCGUCAUCCACUACGACAACGAGGCCAUCGCGCGGCUGCUGGACCGGAACCAGGACGCCACCGACGACGCCGACGUGCAGAACAUGAACGAGUACCUGAGCUCCUUCAAGGUGGCCCAGUACGUCGUCAGGGAGGAGGACAAGAUCGAGGAGAUCGAGCGCGAGAUCAUCAAGCAGGAGGAGAACGUGGACCCCGACUAUUGGGAGAAGCUCCUGCGGCACCACUACGAGCAGCAGCAGGAGGACCUGGCCAG